CUCAAAGCAAUCCUCCCUGCUCAGCCUCCCAAAGUACUGGGAUUCCAGGUGUGAGUCACCACGCCCAGCCGUGUUGCUCUCAAGAUUGUCAUCUGAAUGGAAUCACACAGUAGGCUUGAUGAUUUUCUAAUUGAAAAGCUGGAAUGUGGGAGGAUAACAAUAUGGAAGCUACUCAGAGUACAUGUUCAACAAAUGUGAAUCCUUGUGGUUUUGGGAAUAUGUGGAAAGUGCAUAACUUUAGGCUCAAAAGACCUGCGUUCAAAUCCUGGGUCUACUACUCACAUAGGUGCCUUCAUUCCCUGAGCCUCAGUUCUUUGCCUGAAAAUAGAAGCAGGCAAACCCAGAGGGGUUGUUGCAGUCCUUAAAGCAACAUAUGUGAAAUUGGCUCAAAAGACCCAAAUUCCAGUCCCAGCUCUUAUCACCUGCUGUCACCUCAGACAAACCAUCUGACCUCUCGAAUCUGGUUCUUCAUCUUCAAAAUGAUAUGCCUUGGAGAAUGGUUAUGAGGAUUCGAUGUAAUAAAGUGCAUGAAGUGGCUGCAUGAGAAAUGUACGUGGAUGCAUCCGUGUGUGACCGCAUCGUGCCUGGCAGCCUUUACAGAAUUUCAGCUGUGCCAUGGGAGCUCAGCUCCUGACAAGGGUCGCUGCCACUUCUGACCUGUGAGUUGACCCUGACCAUCACCCCCUUCACAGCCUCUUUGAUUCCAUUCUCAGCACAACAGCCACAACACCUGUUAUGGUUUAAGAUCAUGCCAUUCUGUAAAGCCCUCUGGUGGCUUCCCAUCUGUGUUUCUCAAGGCUGCCAUGACGAGGUGCCACAAACUGAGAAGCUUAAAAAAAUAGAACUUUAUCCUCUCACGGUUUCAGAGACUCAAGAUAUCAGAAGGACCAUGCUCCCUCCAAAGGCUCCCGGGGAGAAUCUACCCUGCCCUUCCAUCCACUGUGCUCCUUGGCCUGUAGCUGCAUCAUUCAAUCUCUGUCUCUGUCUCUGUCUCUGUCAAUGAAUGUCAUCAUUCAUUUUCCCUGUGUGUACCUUUUGUGUCCCCCUUCUUCUUUUUUCUUUUGAGACAGAGUCUCGCUCUA
This is a long non-coding RNA of Macaca mulatta (Rhesus monkey), 1082 nucleotides long. RefSeq lists it as uncharacterized. Lineage: Eukaryota; Metazoa; Chordata; Mammalia; Primates; Cercopithecidae. The record is from RefSeq and is a predicted model, not a curated record.